Molecule: ribosomal RNA, 253 nt
Filed under: uncultured bacterium
Lineage: Bacteria
Description: partial 16S ribosomal RNA
Rfam family: Bacterial small subunit ribosomal RNA
Source: RNAcentral
UACGUAGGGGCCUAGCGUUGUCCGGAUUUAUUGGGCGUAAAGAGCUCGUAGGCGGUUUGUCGCGUCUGCUGUGAAAUUUCGGGGCUCAACCCCGAACUUGCAGUGGGUACGGGCAGACUAGAGUGUGGUAGGGGAGACUGGAAUUCCUGGUGUAGCGGUGAAAUGCGCAGAUAUCAGGAGGAACACCGAUGGCGAAGGCAGGUCUCUGGGCCACUACUGACGCUGAGAAGCGAAAGCAUGGGGAGCGAACAGG